UACGAAGGGGGCUAGCGUUGCUCGGAAUCACUGGGCGUAAAGGGUGCGUAGGCGGGUCUUUAAGUCAGGGGUGAAAUCCUGGAGCUCAACUCCAGAACUGCCUUUGAUACUGAGGAUCUUGAGUCCGGGAGAGGUGAGUGGAACUGCGAGUGUAGAGGUGAAAUUCGUAGAUAUUCGCAAGAACACCAGUGGCGAAGGCGGCUCACUGGCCCGGUACUGACGCUGAGAUGCGAAAGCGUGGGGAGCAAACAGG
Molecule: ribosomal RNA, 253 nt
Filed under: uncultured bacterium
Lineage: Bacteria
Description: partial 16S ribosomal RNA
Rfam family: Bacterial small subunit ribosomal RNA
Source: RNAcentral